Molecule: non-coding RNA, 92 nt
Organism: Delitschia confertaspora ATCC 74209
Lineage: Eukaryota; Fungi; Ascomycota; Dothideomycetes; Pleosporales; Delitschiaceae
Source: the annotation of a GenBank genome assembly
UCUUCCUUGGUCUAGUGGUCAUGAUUUCCGCUUGUCAAUCGUGUAUUCGGUAACAAGCGCGGGAGACCGGGGUUCGAUUCCCCGAGGGAGAG